CGGACGGGUGAGUAACGCGUGGGAAUCUGCCCUCAGGAGGGGGAUAACGGCUGGAAACGGCCGCUAAUACCCCAUAUGCCGAGAGGUGAAAUGAAUUUCGCCUGAGGAUGAGCCCGCGUCUGAUUAGCUAGUUGGUGAGGUAAGAGCUCACCAAGGCAUCGAUCAGUAGCUGGUCUGAGAGGAUGAUCAGCCACACUGGGACUGAGAACGGCCCAGACUCCUACGGGAGGCAGCAGUGGGGAAUUUUCCGCAAGGGGCGAAAGCCUGACGGAGCAACGCCGCGUGAGGGAUGAAGGCCUCUGGGCUGUAAACCUCUUUUCUCAAGGAAGAAGAUCUGACGGUACUUGAGGAAUAAGCCACGGCUAAUUCCGUGCCAGCAGCCGCGGUAAUACGGGAGUGGCAAGCGUUAUCCGGAAUUAUUGGGCGUAAAGCGUCCGCAGGCGGCCCUUCAAGUCUGCUGUUAAAGCGUGGAGCUUAACUCCAUCAUGGCAGUGGAAACUGUUGGGCUUGAGUGUGGUAGGGGCAGAGGGAAUUCCCGGUGUAGCGGUGAAAUGCGUAGAUAUCGGGAAGAACACCAGUGGCGAAGGCGCUCUGCUGGGCCAUAACUGACGCUCAUGGACGAAAGCCAGGGGAGCGAAAG
Molecule: ribosomal RNA, 640 nt
Filed under: uncultured cyanobacterium
Lineage: Bacteria; Bacillati; Cyanobacteriota
Description: bacterial SSU rRNA
Rfam family: Bacterial small subunit ribosomal RNA
Source: RNAcentral